This 373-nucleotide ribosomal RNA is filed under the name uncultured organism. RNAcentral's name for it is "partial 16S ribosomal RNA". It matches the Rfam family "Bacterial small subunit ribosomal RNA", at positions 527 to 896 of the family's 1533-position model. The record is from RNAcentral.
GUAGGUGGCAAGCGUUGUCCGGAAUUAUUGGGCGUAAAGCGCGCGCAGGCGGUUCUUUAAGUCUGAUGUGAAAGCCCACGGCUCAACCGUGGAGGGUCAUUGGAAACCGGAGAACUUGAGUACAGAAGAGGAAAGCGGAAUUCCACGUGUAGCGGUGAAAUGCGUAGAGACGUGGAGGAACACCAGUGGCGAAGGCGGCUUUCUGGUCUGUAACUGACGCUGAGGCGCGAAAGCGUGGGGAGCAAACAGGAUUAGAUACCCUGGUAGUCCACGCCGUAAACGAUGAGUGCUAAGUGUUAGGGGGUUUCCCGCCCCCUUAGUGCUGCAGCUAACGCAUUAAGCACUCCGCCUGGGGAGUACGGCCGCAAGGCUG